AAACCCUAGAAUUACACUCUUCUAGCCACUUUUUCUUAUUCUAUUCUAGAACUCUAUCUCGUGUGUUGGGGAAAUUGCUCAUGAUAGUUAGGCUGAUCAAAGAUUGGUGAGGAAGAUUGUAGUUGCAUUCGUGUUUCCGUUCUUGGCAAUUCCUAGCAAUCAAGAAAUGACAAAAGGAUAGUGAACUGAAAGGGUAGAGUCUUAUUAAUUCCGCUGCACAUAAUCAAGAAGAAUUGCAUUUUGGAUGGGAGUUCUUGAGGAGGGUUGAAAGAGUGGAAGAUUUUUCAGAGAUUCUGAUUGUACUUUAAGGUCUUCAAACAUGGCUCCUAAAAGUAGGAAGAAAAGAUAGGUGGAAGCCGAGAACGUGGAGAAUAAUGCGAAGAAGGAUAAUGCUACAGCAUGGCAGCACUUCUACAAAGCACAGUAUAAACCGUAUCUGGAUGAACACAAGGAAAUGUUUGAUAAAGAGGACAAUCUACAGAAACAAUUUAAGGCACUGCCAGUGUAGGAGAAGGCAUGGUGGAGAGGGGAUGCUCCCUUACAGGAGGAAGACUUAACUAAAAAGGAUAUGGGUCCGAAGGAGAUGGAGGUCAAAGGUGGCGAGGACAAAGAUAAACAUUCUGAGAUCAGUGACAAGGAGGCAACAUUGGAGUAGGAGGAGUCACGUCGAGUUUACAGUAGAUGCUCUUUCGAGAGGUUGUUUAAUAUUGUAAGGUUGCUAAGCCUAGAGCAGAAGGAUACGAUCGUGAAUGUCAGUUUCGACACAUUCAUGAGGGAGGCGGACCCGUACAUUGACACUUGAAUAGUCAGCUUACUCAUAGAGCAUGUUGACCCUUCAACUAGCAGAAUGGAAUUGUUUGGUAGAUCCAUCCAGUUGUCUACCCAAUUUUUCUCAGAUGUUAUGGCUGUAAAUGAUGGGGGAGAACCGGUGGUCAUGGAGAACGACAGAGACAUUUCUGAAAUUGAGGAGCUUUUGGGAGCACAAAGGUACACCGUUUCCCUGACCACUUUGGAGAAGGACUUGAAAGAAUCCACCAAAGUUGAUGCAUUAUUUGUUAUAAAGUUUGAUCUUGUUGCCAUCGGGACAGUGCUAUGCCCGAAGGCCAACACUGAUGUUAGUACUGAUUACCUUCCCUCCCUCAUAGAGACUAGUGGAAUUUCCAAAAGGAACUAUGGGUCCAUGGGCUUUUGUUACCUAAUGAACCCAUUAUUUAGGUAUCAGACUCACAACAUGAAGAAUGUUAGUGGUUGCACCAUUCUCUUACAGGUGAGCUCAUUCGUAGUUGUUUAUUUAUUGUUUUUUUAAGUUCGUUUAGCAAUGACCUUGAUGCUUUAUUCCUUUGCCAUCUUGUAUAUCUGACGCAUGUGGACUGGAGUAACGGUUUUGUAUACCAACCUAUUCCUCCAAUCAAUUUUUGGAAUGCCAAACAAUGCAAGGUCAUUUAUCGCUAUAAUCGUGACCACAACGGUCACACGAGUGAAGCAAUCAAGCUGACCAGGACUCAUGUCGUGCUACCAAGUGUUGCAUCAGAUACCUCUAGGAAGCCUACAAAUGAGGUUCUGACACAAGUUAUUAAUUAUGUGAAGGAAGAGGUGAGUCGUGUGGACAUAAAAGUCAUGCAGGCUGAGGAGCUACUCAGGAAGGAAAUGAGAUUUUUUAGAAAGUUUGUUUUAACGUACUUUGGGAGAGAUCUCGUAGAUGAAGGAGUUGGAGAGGAAGAAGUUGGAAAUGAGAAGUAAAAUUAUAAAGUUCCCAAUGUUCAGCAAACUUUAUCAUUUAAAUGAGAGUCUUACAAACUCGUGGAGCUCCAAAGUGAGAAACAAGUGGUUUCUGGAGUGAAGGGGGUUUCUGGAAUUGCUAAGGAUGUUUUGAAAGAGGUUGGUGAGGGAUCGGAUAGUGUAACCACUUUAAAUGAAUCUGAUCAAAUGAAUGGUUUGGAAGAGGCAAAUGUGGAUGAGGGGACAUUGGAUCAAGGGAUAGUGCAAGAGGAUGAUUUCUUUAAGAUUGUCAGUCUUUGGAACAAAGAGAAAGCGACAGUAAUUAUUAAUGAGGAAGAAAGUUGAAGAUGUGGAUGAAGAUCCUAAUGACGAUUUUGACUUAGACUCAUUCGAGGCAUUUAAGCAAUCUGGUGGAAUCGUUGAUGGCCCGUUCACUGUAAAGAAGAGGAUAAUAGAUCAAAUGUUCCUGUUUUUCUGCUUCUUCUUUUCAUGAAUCCUACACCAAAGCUGUAUGUUAUCCAAGUUUGGGAAACUUUAGGUGACUAGAUAUGUAAUGGGAUCUUUGAGGCUAGAGGGCCAGUUUGCUGGAAGUAAAGGAAGAAUGAAGGCACAGGAUCCGGUUGGGUCUGGUUUAUGCCAACUCGUAUUUCGAAGGAGCUGCUAGGCGCUUCAAUGACUGUGGAAAGGAUGGCCAGAGAGCAAGAGUGGUCAAAGCUCUACUAUGAUGAAGAUUUGAAUUGAUGCCAUAAGAUGCUUGUUCAAAUUCUGCAAACAGAAGGUGCCCACCAUUGGUUUCUAUCCCAUAUCAAUAUGCAAAACAUGACAGUCAAUUUGAUGGAUUCUUUGGAAAGUGCAAUGCACAAGACCUCUCGACAUCGGGUUUCCAAUGAAAUUAUUUUAAGACUCUGGACCAGUUAUUUGCUCUGUCCAAGCCUAAAAAUUUAAAAUUUGAGAAUUUAUUAUUACCACAAGCAAGGGGAACUUACACCAACAACAAACAGGUUUGAUUGUGGGGUAUACUUGAUGAAGUACAUGGAGUCUGUCUUUAUGGGAAAGGACCAUGUCGAUGAGAGGAUGCACGAUUAGAAUUAGCUGCAAGGAUAAGUAGCCACGCAAAUAAUGAGCAUUGGCUGAAUGUGCAGCAACACUGGAAGCAGAAUUGAGCUAAAACUUUUGGUGAACGUCAGCCAUACUUAGCGCACUCGCAGCCAUGUGCACUCCAUCAAAGUCUCCAGCAGAUAAUCGAUUCAGCACAGCAAAGGCUCGGUUCGAGAACAUGUGGACCAAGUCUAGGAAACCAUUACCCGCUCAUCAAAGAGGACAGCAUUGAUGCACAAGUGAUAAACAAUAAUUUAAUUUAGAAUUCAUAUAUUUAACAAACAAUGACAGAAUGUUUUUAGAAUUUUUAGUUUAUUUCUGUUACAUUUUGAAACAAUUAAGUACGUCUUAUAGACGUCUUAAGUAAAAACUGACCAACCACUUUUGUGAUUCGUAUUUUGAAACAAUUCUUAUUU
Molecule: long non-coding RNA, 3233 nt
Organism: Humulus lupulus (European hop)
Lineage: Eukaryota; Viridiplantae; Streptophyta; Magnoliopsida; Rosales; Cannabaceae
Exons: 12
Source: RefSeq, a predicted model, not a curated record